Molecule: non-coding RNA, 433 nt
Organism: Cavia porcellus (domestic guinea pig)
Lineage: Eukaryota; Metazoa; Chordata; Mammalia; Rodentia; Caviidae
Source: the annotation of a RefSeq genome assembly
CGUCUUCAUAGGCUGCUGAUCUCACCCUGUGCAAGUUAUGUCCCAGUAAGAACACAGCAUGGACAUGAGUGUUCCCAUUUUCUUUCUUGGGCUCUUGCUGCUCUGGCUCCCAGGUGCCAGAUGUGACAUCCAACUGACACAACCUGCAUCCUUAUCUGCAUCUGUGGGGGACACAGUCAAGAUCAGUUGCCAGGCCAGUCAGAGCGUUAGUAGUUACUUAAACUGGUAUCAGCAGAAACCAGGACAACCUCCUAAACUCCUGGUCUACUAUGCAACCAUUUUGCAAUCUGGGCUCCCAUCAAGGUUCAGUGGCAGUGGAUCUGGGAAAGAUUUCACUCUCACCAUCAGCAACUUGCAGCCUGAAGACUCUGCUACUUAUUACUGUCAGCGUUAUCUUAGUUGGGUUAUCACAGUGAUACACGCCAUGACAUAA